CUUGAUGGAACCGAGCCACAACGGCUGCUCACCGGACCGCUCCCGGCCGUAGGUCGCCAGGAGCGCCUGUGCCUC
This 75-nucleotide antisense RNA is filed under the name Candidatus Protofrankia californiensis. Its description in RNAcentral is "Candidatus Frankia californiensis ASpks TB sRNA". It matches the Rfam family "ASpks TB sRNA". Lineage: Bacteria; Bacillati; Actinomycetota; Actinomycetes; Frankiales; Frankiaceae. The record is from Rfam by way of RNAcentral.